UUUUGCUCUUUCUGCACUAACAUAGAAACUGCAAACCAUCUAUUUUUUACAUGUCCUCUUGCUCGAACAGUCUGGGGGACCCUGGGGCUCACGGCUGGAGCAUCCUGUUGCCCACGGUCUCUAUGGCAAAGUUGGGCGUGGUUAUAUAAAUUUUUCCCAGGUGGAAAAAGGUUCUACAUGAUGAUUAUUGCUGCUUUGUGUUGGGGGAUCUGGUGUCUUCGAAAUAAAGUCACUUUUGACAAAUAUAAUGCUCGUUCUCCACUGGAGGCUGUUUUCAGUGCAUGCUCUUUUAUGUUGUAUUGGGCAGGACUGCUGAAAGAAGAAGAUAGGUCGAAGUUUCAGGCGGGCGUGAAGAGAUUGGCUUAUGCGGCAGCAGCUCUGGCGGACAGGUCUCACUCGCGAGGUGUGAUACUUUUGAAGGAUGGAGAUGGGAUCCAGAUCGGCUAA
Molecule: ribosomal RNA, 447 nt
Filed under: Triticum aestivum (bread wheat)
Lineage: Eukaryota; Viridiplantae; Streptophyta; Magnoliopsida; Poales; Poaceae
Description: partial small subunit ribosomal RNA
Source: RNAcentral